Molecule: ribosomal RNA, 252 nt
Filed under: uncultured bacterium
Lineage: Bacteria
Description: partial 16S ribosomal RNA
Rfam family: Bacterial small subunit ribosomal RNA
Source: RNAcentral
UACGGAGGAUGCGAGCGUUAUCCGGAUUUAUUGGGUUUAAAGGGUGCGUAGGCGGGAUGCCAAGUCAGCGGUAAAAAUGCGGUGCUCAACGCCGUCGAGCCGUUGAAACUGGCGUUCUUGAGUGGGCGAGAAGUAUGCGGAAUGCGUGGUGUAGCGGUGAAAUGCAUAGAUAUCACGCAGAACUCCGAUUGCGAAGGCGGCCUGCUGGACAUUAACUGACGCUGAGGCGCGAAAGCGUGGGGAGCAAACAGG